This 255-nucleotide ribosomal RNA is filed under the name uncultured bacterium. Its description in RNAcentral is "partial 16S ribosomal RNA". It matches the Rfam family "Bacterial small subunit ribosomal RNA", at positions 524 to 777 of the family's 1533-position model. The record is from RNAcentral.
UACGGGGGGAGCAAGCGUUGUUCGGAUUUACUGGGCGUAAAGGGCGCGUAGGCGGUCGUGACAAGUCACUUGUGAAAUCUCCGGGCUUAACUCGGAACGGUCAAGUGAUACUGUCGGACUAGAGUACAGAAGGGGCAACUGGAAUUCUCGGUGUAGCGGUGAAAUGCGCAGAUAUCAGGAGGAACACCGAUGGCGAAGGCAGGUCUCUGGGCCGAUACUGACGCUGAGGAGCGAAAGCGUGGGGAGCGAACAGGG